GAUGAACGCGGGCGGCGUGCCUAAUACAUGCAAGUCGAGCGAACAGAUGAGGAGCUCGCUCCUCUGACGUUAGCGGCGGACGGGUGAGUAACACGUGGAUAACCUCCCUAUAAGACUGGGAUAACUUCGGGAAACCGGAGCUAAUACCGGAUAAUAUAUUGAACCGCAUGGUUCAAUAGUGAAAGACGGUUUUGCUGUCACUUAUAGAUGGAUCCGCGCCGCAUUAGCUAGUUGGUAAGGUAACGGCUUACCAAGGCAACGAUGCGUAGCCGACCUGAGAGGGUGAUCGGCCACACUGGAACUGAGACACGGUCCAGACUCCUACGGGAGGCAGCAGUAGGGAAUCUUCCGCAAUGGGCGAAAGCCUGACGGAGCAACGCCGCGUGAGUGAUGAAGGUCUUCGGAUCGUAAAACUCUGUUAUUAGGGAAGAACAAAUGUGUAAGUAACUAUGCACGUCUUGACGGUACCUAAUCAGAAAGCCACGGCUAACUACGUG
RNAcentral lists this ribosomal RNA (497 nucleotides) under uncultured bacterium. RNAcentral's name for it is "partial 16S ribosomal RNA". It matches the Rfam family "Bacterial small subunit ribosomal RNA", at positions 28 to 507 of the family's 1533-position model. The record is from RNAcentral.